GACGAACCUUGCAAACGUUGUUCGGAAUCACUGGGCUUAAAGGGCGCGUAGGCGGCUCAUCAAGUCGGGGGUGAAAUCUUUCGGCUCAACCGGAAAAGUGCCUUCGAUACUGAUGAGCUAGAGCGAGGUAGGGGCAGAUGGAACUUCCGGUGGAGCGGUGAAAUGUGUUGAUAUCGGAAGGAACGCAGGUGGCGAAAGCGAUCUGCUGGACCUCUUCUGACGCUGAGGCGCGAAAGCCAGGGGAGCAAACGGG
This 253-nucleotide ribosomal RNA is filed under the name uncultured bacterium. RNAcentral's name for it is "partial 16S ribosomal RNA". It matches the Rfam family "Bacterial small subunit ribosomal RNA", at positions 524 to 776 of the family's 1533-position model. The record is from RNAcentral.